CUGCAUGAAGGAGAGGAGGACCCGGCUGGGGCUCCCAGUGCUGCCAGUGUGGCCAGGAAGUGGGCAGGGAACAGCUGAGUAAGGUGGACGGUGGGAGCCACUCAUUUGGCCACCAAGUUAAUGAAAACAAUAUUUUAAAAGCUAACUAGAGUUGAACACGGAUGGUAGUACACAUUUGUAAUCUCAGCACUGAGGAGGCUGAGGAAGGACUGCCGUUGGUUCAGUGCCAGUCUGGGCUAUGUAAUGAGACCCUGUCUCAUAAAUCCAAACCAAACCAAUCCAAAACAACAAACAAGAAGAAGAAGCAAGUUCUAAUGUGAGAUGCUGAGUUUGAAGAAUGCUGGCUCGUGUGUCCCUAAUUGUCUGUGGCUAACAGGGUAUGCGCUUCCAAUACCACCCCUUCCUACCAGUCCAAGAAGCUGUUUUAAUGUAAUGGGCCCCACCGUUAUGCUGGGCAUUCAGAGGGCUUGGUUUUCACUUGGCAGGAGAACCUUUGUAAAGAGCUCUCAACUUCAUAAUUAAAAACACUGGAGAAACCAAGAAGAAAGACCACACAUCAUCAACAUUCUGGAGAAAAUCCCAGUUAUUGUCAUAUCAAUAAUGCCACGUGUGGUGGGCUGAAUGUUGGCCCCUCAUUGUGGCAUGGCAGUACCCAGCAGCCAAGACCGCUGGUGUCCUCCCCGUCUGCCGAAGUCUGGGCAAUGCUCUGGUGCCCAACGCUCUUCAGGGUACUUAUAGAAGACUCACUUAAGACAAAGUGUGAUUAUAAAAAAAAUCAUCAUGAUCAUUCCUGGAGUCAUCACCUGGUUUUCUGCCUCUCUUCUCCUUCAUUACAUUUCUGAGGACAGUGGCCAUCAGUUGCACAGAUGUUUGGAGUGUGCUCACAGCUGCAUGAUGAAGAAAUCUCUCAGAAAUGAAGGGGUGAGAGAUAUGAGUGGUCUCACAGGGAUUGGAGGAAUGGAUUCAAAAUAAAAACCCAAAUUACUCCUACAAAUGGGAUGGAUGUAUUUGAAGGCCUCCAGUUGGACAUCUGCAUUUUCAACAGCCAGCACUUUCUGCACAGUUGAUAAUCAAUAAAUGGAUGAAGUUGAUUGAAUACACGGAUUUUCUUCAACUUUUCUUUUAAAAUCUCUGUGCAUGUACUCUAGUCCUUAAUCACUAAGGGGUCUGGGAGAAACUGGUUGCUAUGACCCUAAGUGGGGCUUUUUUCUCCAUAUACCGGGGAUUGAACCCACUGCCUUCCUCAUUCUAGGUAAGUGUUCUAUCACAGAGUUAAUCCUCAGCCCAGCAGGGUCUUUGUUUUG
Long non-coding RNA from Cavia porcellus (domestic guinea pig), 1304 nucleotides. RefSeq lists it as uncharacterized. NCBI's taxonomy places the organism in Eukaryota, Metazoa, Chordata, Mammalia, Rodentia, Caviidae. The record is from RefSeq and is a predicted model, not a curated record. The transcript is spliced from 6 exons.